AGAGAGGUUGCCCUAGCAACUGCCAAGGCCACCUUUGCCUUGAGGACACCCCCUCUUCUAUCCACAUCAGCCCGGACUUCCUGCUCUGAGAAAGCAUUUUGGAGAAGGAGAAAAGUAGGAUUAGGUGGUCACAAAGCACCGAGCUGAUUAGAAGCUCAGGUUCCUGAUGUCCCAUCGCAGAAAGAAUUCAGUGAGUGACAAAAUGAUAGGGCCCUCCGGAACACUUAUCUAGACCAUCUCUAGUUCCUGAGACUGAAGAAAAAGGCAGGGAAAGAAGGCGUUUUUUGUGGAAGGGGGAAAACUGAGAUCUCUGGUUCGGUCUUUAU
Molecule: long non-coding RNA, 326 nt
Organism: Globicephala melas (long-finned pilot whale)
Lineage: Eukaryota; Metazoa; Chordata; Mammalia; Artiodactyla; Delphinidae
Source: RefSeq, a predicted model, not a curated record